This is a long non-coding RNA of Cygnus olor (mute swan), 1361 nucleotides long. RefSeq lists it as uncharacterized. The record is from RefSeq and is a predicted model, not a curated record. The transcript is spliced from 3 exons. Lineage: Eukaryota; Metazoa; Chordata; Aves; Anseriformes; Anatidae.
UCCCCUUACAAAGAGAGUUGGUUUGGGUGGUUUGUACCCGUCAGAGGUGUUAGCUGUGAUUGAUGUAAGUAGGCAUCUCACAGCUCGUUCUCUGUAUAAAGCUCUGAACACACAUGGAGCAUCUUUUGCUUGUUUCUUUUUUAAAAAGUAAUUAAUGAAGUCAAACAUCAAGGUGCUGGUCCCCAUAACGACUGCAGAGAGAAAAUCGGAGUGUUCGUCUGAGGACCCUGCCGGUGAUGCAAGAAGCUGACACGCAGCCUGCGAAUCGGGUCCAUCACCCAGCUUCAGGGGGUGAUGGUGGGUCUGGUGGAGGGCGUAACGGACUGAAGACACACAGCAGCAGAGGAUGUUUGGUCACAAUGAGGUCAGCCUUGUGAGGCUAGCAGAAGAAUGCAAUUUUGUCUUCUUAUUGUGAGGCAGAUGUUAAAGAUAUCUACGGGAAAGGUCCCAGGAACACCGACAGUAAAGUCAUAAUGGAAGUGGAGCAGGAACUGCUUCCAGUCAGCUUCAGCGGCUCAGCCAGCUUUGCUCUGUCAGUAAUACAGGGUACUGAAAUAGGGAGCUGAAUAAUUCCCCUUUAUGGCAGCUUCCAGUGGGCCAAGAGUUCAUCUGCAUCGCGCUUGAGUGUCGAAUAAGUGGACCUCCUUGCCUGAUAAUGAUGAGAGAUUUUUUGGCUAGUGAACCAGGUACUGCUCACAUCAGCCAUCAGAUUUGCAGCAGACGUCCACUUUUGUAUGUCCUUCAUGGCAGAUUUGAUCAGCCACCAGAAUUUGAAGGAAAAAAUAAAUAUCACCAAUUGAUUAUGGGCAUACAUGUGUGUUCAUGUGCAUGCGGUUCCCAGUUUGCUUCUCAACCCAGUUCAGUGCAAACCAUCUAAGGUCUUAGGGCCCAGGCAGGGCCCUUCUUCAUUCAUAACCAACCAAAACAGCUGUAAUCCUCGUGAACAAUGCUGCUCAAUGUGCUCCAAAGGAAGUUCGUGAGAGCUGGAGAUAAAAACAUUUUUGGUCAACAGCCAAGGAGAGUCUGAGCCCAAGCCUGACGGUUUUUAUAGUGUUGCAAAACUUGUAUCUUUGCCAAGACCUUCCCACAGUAACCGAAGACAAGGUACUACAGCUCACAAACAUAUUGUGAAAGAAAGAAAGAAGAAAAAAAAAAAAAGAAUGUGAAGGUGAAAAUAUAAUCUGCUCUGGUAUCCACUUGGACAAAAGCCUUUACAAAUUGCUGUAAUAAGGUGAUAAGAUACUGUGGUAAUAAAAAUCUUGUAAAUCAGACAUGUUUGUAUUGCUUUUAAAUUGAACUAAGCAGACAUCAAAGGAAGAUGAUUGAAAAAUUUAAUAUCUAAAAUGGGAGAUAAAAAUGAA